AAAAUGACUCUCGGCAACGGAUAUCUCGGCUCUCGCAUCGAUGAAGAACGUAGCGAAAUGCGAUACUUGGUGUGAAUUGCAGAAUCCCGUGAACCAUCGAGUCUUUGAACGCAAGUUGCGCCCCAAGCCUUUAGGCCGAGGGCACGCCUGCCUGGGUGUCACCC
RNAcentral lists this ribosomal RNA (164 nucleotides) under Oxalis extensa. RNAcentral's name for it is "5.8S ribosomal RNA". It matches the Rfam family "5.8S ribosomal RNA". Rfam says of the family: 5.8S ribosomal RNA (5.8S rRNA) is a component of the large subunit of the eukaryotic ribosome. The record is from RNAcentral. Lineage: Eukaryota; Viridiplantae; Streptophyta; Magnoliopsida; Oxalidales; Oxalidaceae.